AAAUCUUACCAGGUCCGGACACACUGAGGAUUGACAGGAAGUAUCGUCUUUUGAAAUCUUUAAGCACAUGUCGUUUCUAAUGACAUCUUUUAGAUGAAUGAUUCGUGUAAAUAUGCUAGUUCUUUCAUGAUUAUGUGAUAGGUGGUGCAUGGCCGUUCUUAGUUCGUGGAGUGAUCUGUCUGCUUAAUUGCGUUUCACUAUGGCCCCAAAGUUAGCAAGUUAUCCAAUCAUGACCUUCGUCGACCCCUCACCUUUGAGUGCGCGUCCUAGCUUAGAGUACAUGGUGUAAAUGGACUUGUUUUGGGUACCCAGAAAGCAACGAACGUGACCGCAACGUCUUGUUGUCUCUCUUUUGACAGUUAUGGGUUAUCCCAGUCAUGUGUUUAUACUUUUAUGUGUAAAUACGUACGACACAGAGACUAGAUACCAAACUAGGCGUACCGCUGUAUCAUUUCUUUAAACCAGAGGAAGGUUGCGGCAAUAACAGGUC
This 490-nucleotide ribosomal RNA is filed under the name Neogloboquadrina incompta. Its description in RNAcentral is "bacterial SSU rRNA". It matches the Rfam family "Eukaryotic small subunit ribosomal RNA", at positions 1210 to 1462 of the family's 1831-position model. Lineage: Eukaryota; Foraminifera; Rotaliida; Globorotaliidae. The record is from RNAcentral.